RNAcentral lists this ribosomal RNA (408 nucleotides) under uncultured bacterium. RNAcentral's name for it is "partial 16S ribosomal RNA". It matches the Rfam family "Bacterial small subunit ribosomal RNA", at positions 29 to 526 of the family's 1533-position model. The record is from RNAcentral.
AGUGAACGCUGGCGGCGUGCCUAAUACAUGCAAGUCGAACGAAGUGGCGCACGGGUGAGUAAUAUAUAGUUAAUCUGCCCUACACAGAGGAACAACAGCUGGAAACGGCUGCUAAUACCUCAUAGUGUAGGAUGAGACUAUAUCGUAUCAGCUAGUUGGUAAGGUAAUGGCUUACCAAGGCUAUGACGCGUAACUGGUCUGAGAGGAUGAUCAGUCGCAUGGGAACUGAGGCACGGUCCAGAAACCUACGAGAAGGAGCAGUAAUGAGUAUUGCGCAAUGGGGGAGUACCUGACGCAGCAACGCCGCGUGAAGGAUGACACUUUUCGGAGCGUAAACUCCUUUUAUCAGGAAAGCGGUACCUGAUGAAUAAGCACCGGCUAACUCCGUGCCAGCAGCCGCGGUAAUAC